RNAcentral lists this ribosomal RNA (468 nucleotides) under uncultured bacterium. RNAcentral's name for it is "partial 16S ribosomal RNA". It matches the Rfam family "Bacterial small subunit ribosomal RNA", at positions 28 to 507 of the family's 1533-position model. The record is from RNAcentral.
GACGAACGCUGGCGGCGUGCUUAACACAUGCAAGUCGAACGGAAAGGCCCUGCUUUUGUGGGGUGCUCGAGUGGCGAACGGGUGAGUAACACGUGAGUAACCUGCCCUUGACUUUGGGAUAACUUCAGGAAACUGGGGCUAAUACCGGAUAGGAGCUCCUGCUGCAUGGUGGGGGUUGGAAAGUUUCGGCGGUUGGGGAUGGACUCGCGGCUUAUCAGCUUGUUGGUGGGGUAGUGGCUUACCAAGGCUUUGACGGGUAGCCGGCCUGAGAGGGUGACCGGCCACAUUGGGACUGGGAUACGGCCCAAACUCCUACGGGAGGCAGCAGGGGGGAAUUAUGCACAAUGGGCGGAAGCCUUAUGCAGCAACGCCGCGUGCGGGAUGACGGCCUUCGGGUUGUAAACCGCUUUCGCCUGUUACGAAGCGUGAGUGACGGUAAUGGGUAAAGAAGAACCGGCUUACUACGUU